Molecule: long non-coding RNA, 592 nt
Filed under: Nicotiana benthamiana
Lineage: Eukaryota; Viridiplantae; Streptophyta; Magnoliopsida; Solanales; Solanaceae
Description: long non-coding RNA (NBEN_LNC008103)
Source: RNAcentral
UCCCCCAUCUCUAGACAGUGCGUACACCAUUCUGCUUCAGGAUGAGAGACAAAGACAAGUUACAUCAUCACCCUCUCAAUUCUGUAGUGACUCCAGUGCUUUCAACACUUAUUUCACCAACAAAUUCCCUGGCACACCUGCCCAUUCUAAACAAUUCAAUCAAAGAGUCAGCUUUGAUCUCAACAAGACAAACUUAGUGUGUAGAUAUUGCAAGAAACCUGGUCAUAUGAUUGACAAGUGCUGGCACACCUGCCCAUUCUAAACAAUUCAAUCAAAGAGUCAGCUUUGAUCUCAACAAGACAAACUUAGUGUGUAGAUAUUGCAAGAAACCUAGUCAUAUGAUUGAAAAGUGCUAAAAACUCCAUGGAUUCUCACCAGACUUCAAAUUUAAAAGAAGCAAGAGGACUGCAGCAAAUGUUGAGGUGCAGGGAUGUCUGAACUCUGUUGGGUCUCCAAACAAUGCUGAUAGUACUCAGGGGUCCUCUGAAUCAGAAUUUUUGAUUCCUGGUUUAACCAAGGAUCAAUAUUAAAAAUCAUGUUACUGCUUCAACAGAUACAAAUUUCAGAGUCUCAAAAACAAUCCCGUCGUAUG